Molecule: unclassified non-coding RNA, 838 nt
Filed under: Veronica tauricola
Lineage: Eukaryota; Viridiplantae; Streptophyta; Magnoliopsida; Lamiales; Plantaginaceae
Description: partial contains tRNA-Leu (trnL) gene and trnL-trnF spacer region
Rfam family: Group I catalytic intron (bases 1-435)
About the family: Group I catalytic introns are large self-splicing ribozymes. They catalyse their own excision from mRNA, tRNA and rRNA precursors in a wide range of organisms.
Source: RNAcentral
GUAUGGAAACCUACUAAGUGAUAACUUUCAAAUUCAGAGAAACCCCGGAAUUAAUAAAAAUGGGCAAUCCUGAGCCAAAUCCUGUCUUCUAAAAACAAAGGUUCAGGAAGUGAAAAGGGGAUAGGUGCAGAGACUCGAUGGAAGCUGUUCUAACAAGUAGAUUAAUCUUUUUUUUUUUUCGAAACUUCAUAAAGGAUGAAGGAUAAACGGAUCUAUUGAAUACUAUAAAAAAAAAUUAACGGUGGGCCGGGUCUGUAUCUGUAUUUUGUUUAAAUGCAAAAGAAAAAAAAAAAGACUUGGUGUAAAGUGAUUCCACAUUCAAGAAAGAAUCGAAUAUUCAUCAAAUCACCCACUCCACAGUCUGAUAGAUCUUUUAAAGAACUGAUUAAUCGGAUGAGAAUAAAGAUAGAGUCCCAUUCUACAUGUCAAUACCGACAAAAAGGAAAUUUAUAGUAAGAGGAAAAUCCGUCGAAUUUAAAUCUCKUGAGGGUUGUAAGUCCCUCUAUCCCCAAAAARGCCUAUUUAUAUUUAUCCUACCCCCUUUUUUCGUUAGCGGUUCAAAAUUCCUUUAUCUUUCUGAUUCUUUUAUAUUGGGACGUAAAUAACUUUCUUUUAUCACAUGUGAUAUAGAAUACACAUCCAAAUGAAGCAAGGAAUUCCUAUGUAAAUGAUUCACAAUCAAUAGCCUUCUUUUUGAAGAUUCAAGAAAUUACAUUUACAUACAGGACUUUGAGAAAACUUUCUAAUUCCUCGUUGUACCUUUAAUUGACAUAGACCCCAGUCAUCUAAUAAAAUGAGGAUGGAAUGUUCCAUUGGAAAUGGUCGGGAUAGCUCAGCU